Molecule: ribosomal RNA, 478 nt
Filed under: uncultured bacterium
Lineage: Bacteria
Description: partial 16S ribosomal RNA
Rfam family: Bacterial small subunit ribosomal RNA
Source: RNAcentral
GAUGAACGCUGGCGGCGUGCUUAACACAUGCAAGUCGAACGGGAAACCUUUUAUUGAAGCUUCGGCAGAUUUAGCUGGUUUCUAGUGGCGGACGGGUGAGUAACGCGUGGGUAACCUGCCUUAUACAGGGGGAUAACAGUCAGAAAUGGCUGCUAAUACCGCAUAAGCGCACAGAGCUGCAUGGCUCAGUGUGAAAAACUCCGGUGGUAUAAGAUGGGCCCGCGUUGGAUUAGCUGGUUGGUGGGGUAACGGCCCACCAAGGCGACGAUCCAUAGCCGGCCGGAGAGGGUGAACGGCCACAUUGGGACUGAGACACGGCCCAGACUCCUACGGGAGGCAGCAGUGGGGAAUAUUGCACAAUGGGGGAAACCCUGAUGCAGCGACGCCGCGUGAAGGAAGAAGUAUCUCGGUAUGUAAACUUCUAUCAGCAGGGAAGAUAAUGACGGUACCUGACUAAGAAGCCCCGGCUAACUACGUG